This 345-nucleotide transfer-messenger RNA is filed under the name uncultured Parvibaculum sp. Its description in RNAcentral is "Alphaproteobacteria transfer-messenger RNA". It matches the Rfam family "Alphaproteobacteria transfer-messenger RNA". Rfam says of the family: Bacterial tmRNA, also known as 10Sa RNA or SsrA, is named for its dual tRNA and mRNA-like properties. Its role is to liberate the mRNA from a stalled ribosome. The record is from RNAcentral. Lineage: Bacteria; Pseudomonadati; Pseudomonadota; Alphaproteobacteria; Hyphomicrobiales; Parvibaculaceae.
GGAAUUUCCGCCCUAUAUUAGAGGUGCCGGCGGGAUUUCCCGCUCGGCUAUGGCGAUAAACGGGCUGUGUAAUAAGCCAUUCGGACCCGGGGGCGGUACCCGGCGCCUCCACCAGAUUUCCCCUGUCAUGGCAGGGCUCCUGGGGGCGAAACAGGAUCGACGAGGGUGUAAAGACAGUCUUUUUGCCCGGCAUGGUUCCGCCGUUAUCGGGCCGUUUGAUAGUUGCCAACGACAACUAUGCUGAGGCGCGUCUCGCUGCUUAAGCAGUGCGACAACCUCGAUUUAAGCCCUUGCCCUUAGCCGGGUAAGGCGGGGUUCGGGGGCACCUGGCAACAGAAGCCCCCA